Cyanistes caeruleus (blue tit) is the source of this 459-nucleotide long non-coding RNA. NCBI's taxonomy places the organism in Eukaryota, Metazoa, Chordata, Aves, Passeriformes, Paridae. The record is from Ensembl.
AUGGCAUCGGACAGGGACAGCUCCAGCCACAAUAAAAACCAGCGGCAGGAUGUCUGCUGUGCUCUGCCAAGGGUAGUUAGGAGCCUUUUUCCCAAAAAAAUCAGGGAAGGGUGUUUCUCGUGCCCAGCCUGCGUUCUCCGAAAGGGCAGCUGCCCAAAGGUCUGGAAAAGAGAGACUGUUAGAGAUGAAAUGGAAUCAAAAGCCCAGAUCACAAACACCCAUCAAACCUCAGAAGCUCAGGUCCAGAUCUGCCUCUCAGACAGCUGUGGAGAAGGGAAGAACACGAAGCAUUGCCUGGGGCACAGCUUCCAGCCCUCAGGAGGUGGCAUCAGGGACCACAUUUUGCAGCUGAUUUUUCUGUCUGAAAUGGUCUUAAUCAUCCUCAGACCUGGCAGCAGGGAAGUCACUCUGGGGUCACAAUUUCUGUUUCUUUGGCCCAUGUCAAAGAAAUUAAAAUGA